UACGUAGGGGGCUAGCGUUGUCCGGAAUCAUUGGGCGUAAAGCGCGUGUAGGCGGUCCGGUAAGUCCGCUGUGAAAGUCGGGGGCUCAACCCUCGGAUGCCGGUGGAUACUGUCGGGCUUGAGUACGGAAGAGGCGAGUGGAAUUCCUGGUGUAGCGGUGAAAUUCGUAGAUAUUGGGAAGAACACCGGUGGCGAAGGCGGCGACCUGGUCCGAUACUGACGCUGAGGCGCGAAAGCGUGGGGAGCAAACAGG
Molecule: ribosomal RNA, 253 nt
Filed under: uncultured bacterium
Lineage: Bacteria
Description: partial 16S ribosomal RNA
Rfam family: Bacterial small subunit ribosomal RNA
Source: RNAcentral